This 372-nucleotide unclassified non-coding RNA is filed under the name uncultured Prevotellaceae bacterium. RNAcentral's name for it is "contains 16S-23S intergenic spacer region". Lineage: Bacteria; Pseudomonadati; Bacteroidota; Bacteroidia; Bacteroidales; Prevotellaceae. The record is from RNAcentral.
UCACAUCUUACGAUGGCAGUGUCCACGGAGUGCCCGGCAUUACCCGAUGGCAACCGAGGAGAAGGGUUGCGCUCGUUAUGGCACUUAAGCCGACACCUCACGGCACGAGCUGACGACAACCAUGCAGCACCUCCAACGGUGUCCGAAGAAAAAUCUAUCUCUAGAUCUGUCACCGUUAGUUCAAGCCCGGGUAAGGUUCCUCGCGUAUCAUCGAAUUAAACCACAUGUUCCUCCGCUUGUGCGGGCCCCCGUCAAUUCCUUUGAGUUUCACCGUUGCCGGCGUACUCCCCAGGUGGUAUACUUAAUGCUUUCGCUUGGCGGCUUACAAUCUAUCGCAAACCGCGAGUAUACAUCGUUUACUGUGUGGACUAC